RNA transcript from Zerene cesonia (dogface butterfly), 3615 nucleotides. It is a transcript of the gene named baculoviral IAP repeat-containing protein 7-B, with no coding region annotated. Lineage: Eukaryota; Metazoa; Arthropoda; Insecta; Lepidoptera; Pieridae. The transcript is spliced from 11 exons. The record is from RefSeq and is a predicted model, not a curated record.
UCAAUAUUGAUUCAGAAUUUCUCGGAUUGGUAUAGUCUCAAAUAAUUGAGAUGUUAAUUAUUUCUGAACAAUAUAGAUAGCCGCACAUUUAAACUGAUUGUCAAAUACACUUUAUUCACAAUUCCGUUUUUGUAAAGAUAACUAUGAAUAUAGAAAGCAAUAGACUGAAUACUUUUACAAACUGGCCUGCUUCAGCUCCAGUUGAUCCUAUUAGAAUUGCACGGGCUGGUUUUUUUUACACAGGAAAUGGUUGUGAAGUUGAAUGUUUCAGUUGUAGAGGAAAGAUAUCGGAAUGGAAUUAUGGUGACCAAGUCAUGUGGCGACAUCGUUUGCUAGCACCUAACUGCUCAUUUGUUUUGACACCUCAAUUAUCUGGUAAUAUUCCUUCGGUGCUUGGUCAGGGUUGUGUCCCUGUAAAUGAAGCACCUCGAGCUUCAUCUGAAGGCGUUGAAGAACAAUCAUAUUUGCCUGAUGAGUAUGGAGUUACUGCAGAAGAUCAAAUGUAUAGAAGUGAUGCACUGAGAUUACUGUCUUAUGUGAACAAUUGGAAUGACACUUCAGUUUCCCGAGAAGCAUUAGUAAAUGCUGGGUUUUACCAUGCAGGUGGGGGGCGCUUGCGAUGUGCAUGGUGCGGAGGAGAACUUGCGCCAUUUAGGAAUUUGGGUUCUUUAGGGUCCCCUCUGGAAAUACAUAGAAGGUACUUCCCGAAUUGUGAAUUUGCUAUACAAGUAGAGAGAAGAGAUAAUGAAAGUAGUAACUCAUUAUCAUCCAGUUAUGAGUCGUAUACGCCGCCGCCGCCUAAUGAAGCUGCACCACAAACUGAAUCUUCCAGAAGUGGUGCGGUACACAAUGAACAAGUAGUUGCCGCUGGUAGUACAUGGCGAGAGCUAGGCGUCGUUAGCGGUGGUGCAAGACACCCUACUAAGGCUUCUCUGCCAGCGAGGCUUGCUACAUUUGAUAGAUGGCCAUAUGAUAGACCACAAGCUCCCCAGUCGCUUGCUGAAGCAGGUUUUUUUUAUACUGGUGUUGAGGAUCAGGUCCGUUGUUUCUACUGCGACGGCGGGCUCGGGAAAUGGGAAGCGGGCGACAUACCGUGGCGGGAGCACGCGCGCUGGUUCCCGCAGUGCGGCUACGUGCUGCUGCUCAAGGGGCAGCAGUUCGUCGACUCGGCGCAACGGGUGGAGGCGCCAGUUGGACAGAGGACGCUCACGGCGGAUCGAACUUCUAGAUCUAGAAAUUCGGCAAAUAAUUAUCCCGUUACAGAAAGCCAGAUAGAGGCGGUUAUGGAGGGUGAAGCGGCUGCGGCGGCGUUGGGCGCGGGGUUGGACGUGGCGCGCGUGCGCAGAGCCGUUGUACGCAGAUUGCGUUCUACCGGAACACCGUUUCCCACAUCGGACGCGCUGAUAGACGCGAUACUGGACGAGCAGUUGGACGAGGAGCCGUGGGGCGUGUCGCCGCGCAGCCACCGCUUCGCGCGGGACAUACUCACCGAGACGCUCAGGAUAUUCGGCAGCACCACUGGGGUAUUUGUAAUGCCAGAUGAAAACUCUGAUAACAGAAUAUCCAGCUCAGAUAGCCAGUCAUCAUCACCUAUGCCGCCCGAAGCACAAACUGGUCGAAGUGUCCAAGUGUAUAACGCUGCGGUCAAAACUGACAAGAGACCGGAGAAGUCGAAGACCCCGGUACCAGUAGAGAAGAAAGAGUUGAGUCUGGAAGAAGAAAAUAGGCAGUUGAAAGAGGCCAGGCUGUGUAAAGUGUGUAUGGAUAAUGAGGUGAGCAUGGUGUUCCUGCCGUGCGGGCACCUGGUGUCGUGCGCGGAGUGCAGCGCGGCGCUGGCGGCGUGCCCGCUGUGCCGCGCCGGCGUCAAGGCGCUCGUGCGCGCCUACUUCGCGUGAUGCGCGCGCCGCCUGCCGCGCCACGUCGUAGCACUGAGGCAGUGAGGACAUUAGGCGUUGCGUCGCGUUGCAGUCAACAGCUACAAAGUGAUAACAUCAUCUACCUUCCUAUGAUUAAUAUAUUAGAUAUAUAACUAAUAAGUAGGUACAGAUAUGGUAUACGGAAGAUUGCUUUAGGCCUUCACACUUCUAAUUUCAAUGAUACACUAUUACUUUAUAAAGAAUAAAAUAUAGGUCGCAUACCUAUUUAAGCAUUCGCUUUGAUACAAAUAGAACUGGCACAGAUGCUUUAAAUGAAUAAAAAAGGUAAUUGGUAUUUAAGAAAACGUGUGUUCUUUAAAUUUAAUAAGUGAUGUACACAAGGGAAAUUCCAAUGAGUUUUCAAAAAUAUGGUUCGUUUUUAGGUGCUGAUUUUCGUAAAACUAUUAAUGCCAUUUAUAGGCAAGGCAAGUGUAUCUAAGAUUUUGAAAACAUGCGGUCUGAGUGGAACCAUAUUUUUUUUUAAGUAUUCCAGGUUCGUUAUAACCAUGUAUUAUGGAGUAAAUUAUACCAAUAAAUUAAUUGUUUCAUGAAUUUAUUAAAUUUGUAGCAAUAUUUUAUAAAUUUAUUAUUAUGUAAUAACGUGUUCAAAUUUUGUAGAAGUAUUUUAAUUCAAUUUCGACUUUGAAUAUUAUUAAUUGCAAUUAAAUUUAUUGAAUUGUUAAGCAUCAUAGAUGUGUCUUUUAAAUAUACACCUAUAUUAUUUGCACAAAGAGUGGAUACAGAAAUGUAUCGAAAAGUAGUAAACGGCUCUUUAAAGAAAAACACAAUUAUUUUUUUUUAUUGGAAACUGGAUACCCGUACAAUGUUUUAUUACAUUACUUCACAAUAGGUUUUAUGAAUCAACUUAAAUGACUAUAUAUGAAAGUGAACUCAUUUGUGAGAUAGUAGAAUUAACAAAAUGUCCAUAAACUAAGAUCGACUUAUUGUAACAUUUAUUUGAAUAUUGCUUACCUAGAAUUAUCUACCAUUAAGAAAUAACAGAAUAGAAUAAGCUAUCAUGGGAAAGACGAGCAUUCGAAAUAAAAUAUAAAAAAAAUUAUGCCUUUUUUUUUUCGAAGAAAUUAAAUAUUUUGGCAGAUCAAAUAUAUUAUUUAUUACUAUUUAUAAAAGACCAUACAAUUUCUUAAUAGAUUGAAUUAAUAGUACAUACGUAAUUCAUUAUUAUGUUAAAUAUAUGUACAAUCUUGUCCAAAAUUAAAGGUAUCAAUUAUGUCAGAUAUGAAAAAAAAAAUGUGGUUGAAAUAAAAUUCGUCUCAGUUUGUAUGGAAUUGACUUGACUUAACUACAAUUAUAAUGCCUUAUUUAUUAUGUUUAUACACUUUCGGAAUUUUGUACAUAAAUAGAAUAAUACUAUUUAGAAUAAUUGUUCAAAAUGCAAUAAUAGUGUUUCGAAUUUAGUCUAAAUUUAAAUGUUAACUGUAACAUCAGAACUCUAAAGAGGAAAAAACCUUCUGAAAAAUACAAAAUUAGAUAAUGUAAAAAUAACAAUGGCUCUGUUAAUCUGCUAUGUAUAAUACAUCUUUAUUUCGUCUAUUCGGACAUAUAACAGCUUAACAAUGUCGAGAUUUCCAUAUAGGUGUGUAUGUACCGUGUAGUAUAUAAUUGUUUGUUGUAUUAUAAGUUGGAUCUGAUUUGAUCUAAUAUAUUAUGGUAGGCCCGUGGCUUACAUAGUUAUUUA